AUUGAACGCUGGCGGCAGGCCUAACACAUGCAAGUCGAACGAGUGGCGGACGGGUGUGUAAUGUCUGAGACACUGCCUGGUGGAGGGGUAUCACUACUGGAAACUGUAUCUAAUACCACAUCCCCUCAGAUGUGCCCAGAUGGGAUUAGCUAGUGGGUGGGGUAACGGCUCACCAAGGCGACGACCCCUAGCUGGUCUGAGAGGAUGACCAGCCACACUGGAACUGAGACACGGUCCAGACUCCUACGGGAGGCAGCAGUGGGGAAUAUUGCACAAUGGGCGCAAGCCUGAUGCAGCCAUGCCGCGUGUAUGAAGAAGGCCUUCGGGUUGUAAAGUACUUUCAGCGGGGAGGCGUUACCCGCAGAAGAAGCACCGGCUAACUCCGUGCCAGCAGCCGCGGUAAUUC
Molecule: ribosomal RNA, 406 nt
Filed under: uncultured bacterium
Lineage: Bacteria
Description: partial 16S ribosomal RNA
Rfam family: Bacterial small subunit ribosomal RNA
Source: RNAcentral